ACCCCAUAAUAUUGAUUUAUCGCAUGAUAGAUUAAUUAAAGGAGUAAUCCGCUACGAGAUGGGCCCGCGGCGCAUUAGCUAGUUGGUGAGGUAACGGCUCACCAAGGCCACGAUGCGUACGCGACCUGAGAGGGUGAUCGGCCACUAUGGGACUGAGACACGGCCCAGACUCAUACGGGAGGCAGCAGUGGGGAAUAUUGCACAAUGGGCGAAAGCUGAUGCAGCAACGCCGCGUGAGUUAAGAAGGCCUUCGGGUUGUAAAGCUCUGUCUUCAGGGACGAUAAUGACGGUACCUGAGGAGGAAGCCACGGCUAACUACGUGCCAGCAGCCGCGGUAAUACGUAGGUGGCAAGCGUUGUCCGGAUUUACUGGGCGUAAAGGGAGCGUAGGCGUAUACUUAAGUGGGAUGUGAAAUACCCGGGCUCAACCCGGGUGCUGCAUUCCAAACUGGGUAUCUAGAGUGCAGGAGAGGAAGUGGAAUUCCUAGUGUAGCGUGGAAAUGCGUAGAGAUUAGAAGAACACUAGUGGCGAAGGCGACUUUCUGGACUGUAACUGACGCUGAGCUCGAAAGCGUGGGAGCAAACAGGAUUAGAUACCCUGGUAGUCCACGCCGUAAACGAUGAUACUAGUGUGGGAGUACCACCUUCCGUGCCGCCGUAACACAAUAAGUAUCCCGCCUGGGGAGUACGGUCGCAAGAUUAAUACUCAAAGGAAUUGACGGGGGCCCGCACAAGCAGCGGAGCAUGUGGUUUAAUUCGAAGCAACGCGAAGAACCUUACCUAGACUUGACAUCUCCUGAAUUACCUUUAAUAAGGGAAGCUUCGGGGCAGGAAGACAGGUGGUGCAUGGUUGUCGUCAGCUCGUGUCGUGAGAUGUUGGGUUAAGUCCCGCAACGAGCGCAACCCUUAUUGUUAGUUGCUACCAUUAAGUUGAGCACUCUAGCGAGACUGCCUGGGUUAACCAGGAGGAAGGUGGGGAUGACGUCAAAUCAUCAUGCCCCUUAUGUCUAGGGCUACACACGUGCUACAAUGGCGAGUACAACGAGAAGCAAGAUCGCAAGGUGGAGCAAAACUCAAAAACUCGUCCCAGUUCGGAUUGUAGGCUGAAACUCGCCUACAUGAAGCCGGAGUUGCUAGUAAUCGCGAAUCAGAAUGUCGCGGUGAAUACGUUCCCGGGCCUUGUACACACCG
This 1190-nucleotide ribosomal RNA is filed under the name Clostridium sp. RR61. RNAcentral's name for it is "bacterial SSU rRNA". It matches the Rfam family "Bacterial small subunit ribosomal RNA", at positions 168 to 1392 of the family's 1533-position model. The record is from RNAcentral. Lineage: Bacteria; Bacillati; Bacillota; Clostridia; Eubacteriales; Clostridiaceae.